This 528-nucleotide ribosomal RNA is filed under the name uncultured bacterium. Its description in RNAcentral is "bacterial SSU rRNA". It matches the Rfam family "Bacterial small subunit ribosomal RNA", at positions 8 to 525 of the family's 1533-position model. The record is from RNAcentral.
AGAGUUUGAUCCUGGCUCAGAUUGAACGCUGGCGGCAGGCCUAACACAUGCAAGUCGAACGGUAACAGGAAGCAGCUUGCUGCUUCGCUGACGAGUGGCGGACGGGUGAGUAAUGUCUGGGAAACUGCCCGAUGGAGGGGGAUAACUACUGGAAACGGUAGCUAAUACCGCAUAACGUCGCAAGACCAAAGAGGGGGACCUUCGGGCCUCUUGCCAUCGGAUGUGCCCAGAUGGGAUUAGCUAGUUGGUGAGGUAACGGCUCACCAAGGCGACGAUCCGUAGCGGGUCUGAGAGGAUGAUCCGCCACACUGGGACUGAGACACGGCCCAGACUCCUACGGGAGGCAGCAGGGGGGAAUUUUGGACAAUGGGGGCAACCCUGAUCCAGCCAUGCCGCGUGAGUGAAGAAGGCCUUCGGGUUGUAAAGCUCUUUCAGACGGAAAGAAAUCGGGUGGGUGAAUAUCCUGCCUGGAUGACGGUACUGUCAGAAGAAGCACCGGCUAACUACGUGCCAGCAGCCGCGGUAAUA